CCCCGCAAGGUCGGUAUACAGGUGGUGCAUGGUUGUCGUCAGCUCGUGUCGUGAGAUGUUGGGUUAAGUCCCGCAACGAGCGCAACCCUCGUUCUAUGUUGCCAGCACGUAAUGGUGGGAACUCAUAGGAGACUGCCGGGGUCAACUCGGAGGAAGGUGGGGAUGACGUCAAAUCAUCAUGCCCCUUAUGUCUUGGGCUUCACGCAUGCUACAAUGGCCGAUACAAAGGGCUGCAAUACCGCAAGGUGGAGCGAAUCCCAAAAAGCCGGUCUCAGUUCGGAUUGAGGUCUGCAACUCGACCUCAUGAAGUCGGAGUCGCUAGUAAUCGCAGAUCAGCAACGCUGCGGUGAAUACGUUCCCGGGUCUUGUACACACCGA
Molecule: ribosomal RNA, 378 nt
Filed under: uncultured bacterium
Lineage: Bacteria
Description: bacterial SSU rRNA
Rfam family: Bacterial small subunit ribosomal RNA
Source: RNAcentral